Felis catus (domestic cat) is the source of this 2442-nucleotide long non-coding RNA. RefSeq lists it as uncharacterized. NCBI's taxonomy places the organism in Eukaryota, Metazoa, Chordata, Mammalia, Carnivora, Felidae. The record is from RefSeq and is a predicted model, not a curated record. The transcript has 5 exons.
GUGGUCUCUGUUUUCGGGUAAUUUGGGGGUACAAGGGUGUGAUCAGAAGGGGAUUUCCCAUGGCCCCAGCAUGCCGGCCUGCCUUUGCCCUUUCAACCUCUCUUUCCUGAGUGAAACUUCAUUGUUUAUUUACCCACCACCUCUUGCCAACAAGGAGCUGAGAUGAUAUACAACCCAGGCCACGUGUGACCGGAUUGAACCAACAGAAAAAAACAUUUUUUUUUAAUAUUUGUUUUUGAGAGAGAGAGAGAGACAGAGCAUGAGCAGGGGAGGCGCAGAGAGAGGGAGACACAGAACCCGAAGCGGGCUCCAAGCUCUGCGCUGUCCACACAGAAUCCGAUGUGGGGCUCGAACUCAGGAACUGUGAGAUCAUGACCUGAGCCGAAGUCUGACUGAGCCACCCGGGCGCCCCUACCAACAGAAAAAUUUUAGAGUCUUCAAAAUUCCACGAUCUGCUGGGAUUUAUUCUGACUGCAGUCGCGUAUGUGCUUGUCCCCAGCUCCACCCCCACCCGUUCCAGGGAAGGACAUUGACUCUCAUCCUGGUGAUCUCCCCAUCAUGCCCAUCCAAGCUCUCCUUGGGAUCUGUUCCUGAGAAGUCCUACAUGUACAUAAAGCUCUUCUACUGCAUAACAAAAUACUACGAUUGUCUCAUGAAAACCACCCAUGUGAUUGUUUGCGCCAAAAAGUUUGCUGAUCUUGCUCAAGUGGAUUAUCUACUGCAUUGGAAUGACUUAAGCUGCCGUCCCAAAGAGCCUGAAGAACCCUGCAAGCUGUUCUUGCAGAGAAGCCUGGCAAAGAACAUGGAAAGAACAUGGGCUUUGGGGCCACGUGAACCUCAUCUGGAGUCCUGGUUCUGCCACUCAGUAGCAACUCUGUCAUCUGAACUUGGCAAGUCACAACUUCUAUGUACCAAAGUAACUUUACAUGUAAAGUGAACAUAGUAAUUGAUCUAUUUAAAAAUAUGUAAAGAGGAAAGUAAAAGUCCUCAUCUUCACCAGUCAAAUCCCCCUCCUCAGAUGUGCAUUAUUAAUAUUUUGGUUCAAAUACUUCCAGACUUUUUCCUAGGUUUAUACUGCACAGAUAUAUAUGUAUACACAUGCAUCUAUUUACAAACCAAAUAUUACUGUACAUACUGGUCUGUAACUUGAUCUACUUCUGUUCAACAAUCAAUCACAGGGGUGCCUGGGUGGCUCAGUCGGUUAAGCAAUUGAUUCUUGAUCCCAGCUCAGGUCAUGAUCUCAUGGUUUGUGGGAUUGAGCCCUGUGUGGGGCCCUGAGCUGACAGAGCAGAGCCUGCUUGGGAUUCUCCCUCUCCCUCUCUCUACCCCUCCCCAGCUUGCACAUGCACACGUGUGGGCUCUCUCUCAAAAUAAAUAAACCUAAAAAAUCUAUUAUAUACAUCACUUUAGGUCCAUACAUAUAAAAUAUGACUCUUUAUACCAACUCCAUAGUGCUCCUUCAUAUAGCUAGGUGGCAAUUAACACAACCUACUGAUGGAAAUUGGGUCAGUUCUGAUGUUUUUCUGUUAUCAAACGUGCUGCAACUGACGGGCAUACUUAUGAAUCUAUGUUAUUGCUUCUGUAGGAGAGAGUCCUGAAAGUCGAAUUGCUGGGUCAAAAAGUACACAUGUGGAAAGUACACACAUUAGGUUCUAACAAAUCACCUACUUCCCAGAGGUGUGCCAUUUGCACUUGGACUUGCAGUCGAUAAUACCACGUGCUUACACAUAUCCUUAUAAGCACCGGGUUCCAUUAAUUUUUCAGUCUUUGUAUUUCCUUGACAACAGUAAAGUUGAACAUCUUCUUAUGUUUAUUGGCCAUCUGCCUUUCUUCUGUGAAUUCUUUGUUUAUAUUCCUUGCCUAUUUUUCUAUUUGGAUGUUUGAGCUGUUCUUCCCAGUAGGCAUUUUUUUGUACAUUAAGUGUCUGUUGGCAGAAAGAAAGGACAUUGUGUUUUGCAGCUCAGUUAAAUGUCUUGAAUAUCUUACCCAGGUCUACUAUUUGGCUUUAAACUUUAUGCUGUUUUUCAUCAUGUAGGAGUUUUAAAUGUUUCAGUAUUCAAAUGUGUAUUUUUUUUUUUCUGGUUUCUGGGUUUCCUGUCUUGCUUAAGAAGUCAUCCUACCCUGAUGUUACAUAAUUGGUCUCCUUUGUUAUCUUAUCAUCUUUUUAAGGCUUCAUUUAUUUAUAUUCAUAUUGUUAAUAUUUUAGGAAUUUCUAUUUGGAGUAGAUGAGGAAUGUAUGUUGAUGAUGUGUCUCUGAGGUUUUUCUUCUCUCAUCACUUUGAAUGCAUUCAGGGACCCAUAAUUUUUUUGAGCCAAAAAGGCCUGUGUGCUGUGUGUUCCUAUAAAUGUACUCAUUUCGAAGAACAACUCCACAACUUGUUAAUACAAAUGUUAAUAUUGGUUAUUUCUGUGUGAUGGGAUUAAAGAUGCUUUUAAUUGUUC